This is a long non-coding RNA of Gymnodraco acuticeps, 1308 nucleotides long. RefSeq lists it as uncharacterized. The record is from RefSeq and is a predicted model, not a curated record. NCBI's taxonomy places the organism in Eukaryota, Metazoa, Chordata, Actinopteri, Perciformes, Bathydraconidae. The transcript has 2 exons.
GAGCGCCUCCACUCACACAUUUCCUUUUGUACACCACCGCAUCUUUUGUGUAAUUAAAUGCUGUUAACUUUUAUAAGCUUCCCUUGACUCUUUUCAGUCUCUCCUGCCUUCAGGGUUCUAGAAUACACUAACAUGGCGUCUCUGGGUGGGCUCUGAAGCGGGAUAGAGCUGGAAAAGAGGGGAAGGCUGCAAGCUAGCUAGCUAGCAUCACACUAGGCUGCAGAAAAUGAGUUUUUGGCUGGGCCUAAACGAAAGAUGUAAAUGAGCUGUGCAGUUCCUCUGCUAUCAUUGGCCGUCCCGACCUCUCAACAUCCGCGGGGUUUGGACAGACGUCACCCAAUCCCUGCUCGCUUCUGCCACGUCAUCCGGGGGAGGAGUAUAAAGGCUGGGCACGGACACCAUUCGGGAGGCUCUGUAUUGUGUGACAGAUGCCUUAACCCUCUCAUUGUGACAAAGCCUUCGUUCUGUGAUUCUGUUAGCAGUGUGUUUUCUGUGCCUCGUUAGACUGCUUAGCAGUGUGUUUUGUGUGCUUCGCUCGACUGCUUAGCAGUGUGUUGUAGCAUUUUGUGAGUAUUGCUUAGUACUUUGCCCUAACCCAGGUGAUUAGCGCCUGUAGAUCAGCAUUCUUGUGUGUAUUGCUUAGACCCAGGUGAUUAGCUUCUGUAGAUCAGCAUUCUUGUGUGUAUUGCUUAGACCCAGGUGAUUAGCUUCUGUAGAUCAGCAUUCUUGUGUGUAUUGCUUAGACCCAGGUGGUUAGCACCUGUAGAUCAGCAUUCUUGUGUGGAUUGCGUAGAUCCAGGUGAUUAGCACCUGUAGACCCGCACCAGCUGUGUUCUUCCACAGUCCGUUUUGUUUAUUGUUUUGUUUCCACUUUAGAAGUGAGAUUUUCUUUCCUUUUGUAUAGCGGGGCAACUCUCUUUUGGAGACCCCUUUUGUUGGAUAGUGACAGCUUGACCCGUUGUUGGGCCAAGCUGUUUGUGUAGCCUACAUCAUUUUACUUACUUGCCGUAACAAUUAAACCACCGGUAACGUAUACCAAUUCCAAUCUGGUCGUGUCGUGUCCUUUUGGUCCUCCUAGCCCAAUUGGGAACGUAACAAUUACAUAGUAUUAAGACCUUCUGGGGAGGCACUAGAUUUUAUCUGGGAUAGGGUCCACAUUGUGUUAAAUACCUCUGGGUAGGUACCAGACCUGAUCUGUUUUACACUGGACUGGGUCCAUUCAUGUUAGUCUAUAUGUUUGAUGUGUUAAACCUGCGUAGUUUGGUUUAAUAACGUAUAUUGUGUGGAGUUUUUAAGCCAAAAAGUAUA